GGCUGGAUGGCUCAGUUGGUAGAGCACCGGAACAGCAAUCUGGAGGUCAUAGGUUCAAACCCCACUCCAGUCA
RNAcentral lists this transfer RNA (73 nucleotides) under Patiria miniata (bat star). RNAcentral describes it as "tRNA-Ala". It matches the Rfam family "tRNA". Rfam says of the family: Transfer RNA (tRNA) molecules are approximately 80 nucleotides in length. Lineage: Eukaryota; Metazoa; Echinodermata; Asteroidea; Valvatida; Asterinidae. The record is from Rfam by way of RNAcentral.